CUGGAAUUUAGCAGAACAAGUAUCCAGUGUGGGGUCACAGAGAUUCCGUUUGCCCCGCCCCCUCAUUAGCUGUGUGAACUCAGGCAAUUUGCUUAAUUCUCUGAACUUUGGAGUCAUCUGUUGCAAAAUAGGGAUACUUAUAACCAACUUCUAAAAUUGCUAAUAUAUAUGAAGCACUGGACAUUCUGUCUUCACAUAGUAGAAUAACAACUAAACUGCUGACGCAUUGAUAAAUGGCUAUCUCUUGGGCAUGUCUACUCAAAAUGGCAGCCAAGCAUAAUCCUCAAUGCCAUAACUCUUCGCUUUGAUAACUCCUUCUCCCACUUGUCUGCAAAGUGCUGCUUUACUGGCCUCAUCCCAGCAUCCACUGUAUCCCGCGGACGUGUCUCCUUCCUCUGAAUGUCAACGGAUUCAGUGCCUUCACCACUCACUUUGGGCUGAGAAUAUCUAAAGCUCACAGUACUAAUUAUGUCACUAUCAAGAGAAGCCUUAACCAAUCAGCCAAGUUUCCAGCAAGCAAUUUCUAGGAACUGCACGGUUCAAUUUGCAUAGAGACAAAAAGAAUGAAGAAAGACAAUUUGGAGAAGAACUGUUUUCAGCAAUAAUCCUACAUAUGAGAGUUUGGUGGACAAUGUACCUGCUCAAUUUGCUUCUUAAAAAUUCUCUCUGCUGAUUCAGCUGCAUCAGAGUGGAAGUUAGUAAACAACAGCAUGACGGUCCUCCUUGGAGACUCUUCCUGCUUGCAAAAGUUACACAAAAUAUUUUUCAAUACUUUGUAAUAAAGUGGGAUACAGGCAGAGCAAAUUCCCACAAUUCGUCAAAUAUAGUCAUUAAAAUUGUAAUAAGAUCUUGAGAUUUCCCAAUUCUUGGAAUGCAAAAAGCUAC
Molecule: long non-coding RNA, 885 nt
Filed under: Equus caballus (horse)
Lineage: Eukaryota; Metazoa; Chordata; Mammalia; Perissodactyla; Equidae
Description: lncRNA (ENSECAG00000042645.2)
Source: RNAcentral